This 858-nucleotide long non-coding RNA is filed under the name Junco hyemalis (dark-eyed junco). Its description in RNAcentral is "lncRNA (ENSJHYG00000018305.1)". Lineage: Eukaryota; Metazoa; Chordata; Aves; Passeriformes; Passerellidae. The record is from RNAcentral.
UCACUGUUCUGCGGUCAGGCUUGCAUGCCAUCUUCAAUGAGAAAUCUCUGGAUGUGACCAAAGACCUCUUUCAAGAGAAGUUUAGGAAUCCAAAGAAGCGGCAGAAAAACAUACAAUUAAAAUGUUUGAAGAACUUCAUUUCUUCACUGGCAUCUUCCACAGAUAUUCGGGAUCUCCUGAGCUGUUUGUCUUCAGAUCUCCAGACUUUUGUUAUUAAGGAUCCUGGCUUUUGUUGAAUAUGCUACUUGUUGAUUUUGCGGCUCACAUUUUCCAGUCCUAUAUAGAAGAGGAGAAGGAAGAAGGAAAUGCCUUGGUUGCAAAGCAAAAUGAGGUCCCUGUUCUGUGUGUUUAUGAGCCCAGCCAUCUCUCAGCCUGUUUUGCUGAGGAGGAACCUCAAGCCAGUGCUCCACAGACAGCUCUUGUGAUGCAGAACCAGAAUAACUUUGGAUUAAGCAAUGCUUUCCAGAGUUCUGAGUUGUUUGGUGAACACAGCCACUGUCAGCAAGCACAUCCAGAUAAUUUAGGAAGAGAAAAUUAUUAUAUCAUGUACUAAGUUGGAUCUUCAAGUUGCAAAGGAAACAUUUCUUAUUCAAAAAGAUGAAAUUAUAUUUCUCUGCCUCCAAUGAACAGCAAAUCUUCAGAGAAAAGCAUCCUGGCUGUAGCAUUCUAUAUGAUAUGCCAUUCUUACUUUUUGAUAAAGUUUAAGAAACACUGUUUUCAUUCUCUUAUACUAAAGAGCUUUCUUUUUGUAAUACAAAAUGCAAAACUGGGCUAGCAAUGCAAUUAUUUUAAGUUGUCAUGUGAUUUGAUUUGGAUUAUUUGAAUAAAUCUUCAGAUGAUAAAGGUGAAGUACUCGUG